UGGCUCAGUUGGUAGAGUUUUGCACUUGUAACACAAGGAUUGUGGGUUUGAUUCCCAU
This 58-nucleotide transfer RNA is filed under the name Salmo salar (Atlantic salmon). Lineage: Eukaryota; Metazoa; Chordata; Actinopteri; Salmoniformes; Salmonidae. The record is from Rfam by way of RNAcentral.